Molecule: non-coding RNA, 326 nt
Organism: Paramuricea clavata
Lineage: Eukaryota; Metazoa; Cnidaria; Anthozoa; Malacalcyonacea; Plexauridae
Source: the annotation of a GenBank genome assembly
UUUAUUUCUCGUGUUGAACAUGAUAUCUCACUCGUUCGCUGCGCUCACUCGUGAGAUAUCAUGUUCAGCACUCGAAAUAAAUCUGGUAUUUCCGCGUAUUUCUAUACGAUUUUAUAUCCGGGACUUGAAUUUGCCCCCCAUUAGCUGCGUUCCCAAUUUUUAAACUCGAUGCCUCCUCUAGUGUAGCCUGCGCGGCAGGCGGUAUUUCAACAGGCAGCGAAAAUUAGGGAGGCAAAGGAAAUACCGUCUGCCGCAAAACUAGGGGUUUUUGAAUUACCCGUCCGCUGGUGAACGGGAAAAACGGAUUGGUUAGUAUUUUUAUGUAG